RNAcentral lists this non-coding RNA (48 nucleotides) under Schistosoma bovis. RNAcentral also lists the same sequence under 1 other name. The record is from RNAcentral. Lineage: Eukaryota; Metazoa; Platyhelminthes; Trematoda; Strigeidida; Schistosomatidae.
AUCCAGUUGAUGAAUCUCAAAUAGGGCGAAAUGUGCGUCAAACUGGAU